This is a long non-coding RNA of Pomacea canaliculata, 652 nucleotides long. RefSeq lists it as uncharacterized. The record is from RefSeq and is a predicted model, not a curated record. Lineage: Eukaryota; Metazoa; Mollusca; Gastropoda; Architaenioglossa; Ampullariidae. The transcript is spliced from 5 exons.
CAGGGAGACAGCGCAAGAUAACUGAGCUUCACGUUGACGUCACGUGAUUAGCGACGUCGUUACUAACAGUUGUCUUCCCCACACCACAGACAGUGACAACCUAACGACGACGUCUGUCGAGAGAUAUUUAAACCAAGCGGUCUUCCAAUCACGAUGACUAAACAAACACGGUUGUACCUAGCUGUAGUCUGCUUGCUGCUUUUCAUAACACUGGAAGCCAGAGACAUCUACCACCACCAACAUCACCGUCUGGCUCAAAGGGAGUGCGCCGAGAUCGACGAGUCAUGCGAACACUUACCUUGUUGCUUAGCUAUAUAUCGUGAAUGCGUCCAAAGAAAAAUGACCGAGCGUAUUUGCCAGCCAAUUGCUAUUGAAUGACAGAGAAUACAAGCGGACUAAUGUCACCUGCUACAAAGACUAUUGGAUGCUGGAUGUACCAAAUAGUAUCAACAACAGGGAGCGUCUGCCUACUGUCCGAUUCUGGGAUGUCAAUGAAUAAUAGGAAGUCAUCGCACGAGUAUAAGAUCACCGAGUUCAAAGGUGUCUCUAAAUUGAUUGUAUUUCUAUGCAUUUAAAUGUUUUUUUUUUUAAUUCGAUUUCUAGAUUUCUCUGUUUGCUCCAGAAAUUCAGCGACAAAAUAAAUUCCAGAAAA